Molecule: ribosomal RNA, 439 nt
Filed under: uncultured bacterium
Lineage: Bacteria
Description: partial 16S ribosomal RNA
Rfam family: Bacterial small subunit ribosomal RNA
Source: RNAcentral
CUACGGGGGGCUCCAGUGGGGAAUAUUGGACAAUGGGCGCAAGCCCGAUCCAGCAAUGCCGCGUGAGUGAAGACGGCCCUAGGGUUGUAAAACUCUUUCGCUAGGGAAGAUAAUGACUGUACCUAGUAAAGAAGUCCCGGCUAACUCCGUGCCAGCAGCCGCGGUAAUACGGAGGGGACUAGCGUUGUUCGGAAUUACUGGGCGUAAAGAGUUCGUAGGCGGACUGACAAGUUAGAGGUGAAAUCCCAGGGCUCAACCCUGGAACUGCCUUUAAAACUGUCAGUCUAGAGACCGGAAGAGGUUAGGGGAAUACCUAGUGUAGAGGUGAAAUUCGUAGAUAUUAGGUGGAACACCAGUGGCGAAGGCGCCUAACUGGUCCGGUACUGACGCUGAGGAACGAAAGCGUGGGGAGCAAACAGGAUUAGAUACCCCCGUAGUC